GACGAACCGUGCGAACGUUGUUCGGAAUCACUGGGCUUAAAGGGCGCGUAGACGGGCUGCCGCGUCCGGGGUGAAAUCCUCCCGCUCAACGGGAGAACGGCCUCGGAUACGGGCGGCCUCGAGGGGGGUAGGGGCAUCUGGAACUGUGAGUGGAGCGGUGAAAUGCGUUGAUAUUCACAGGAACUCCGGUGGCGAAGGCGAGGUGCUGGACCCCAUCUGACGCUGAGGCGCGAAAGCCAGGGGAGCGAACGGG
RNAcentral lists this ribosomal RNA (253 nucleotides) under uncultured bacterium. RNAcentral describes it as "partial 16S ribosomal RNA". It matches the Rfam family "Bacterial small subunit ribosomal RNA", at positions 524 to 776 of the family's 1533-position model. The record is from RNAcentral.